This 255-nucleotide long non-coding RNA is filed under the name Elaeis guineensis (African oil palm). RNAcentral describes it as "long non-coding RNA (EGUI_LNC012902)". The record is from RNAcentral. Lineage: Eukaryota; Viridiplantae; Streptophyta; Magnoliopsida; Arecales; Arecaceae.
GCUAGUCUAAGAAGUAAGUAGAAAUAAACUCAAUUACAUUGAAAAAUGAAUCGGCAGUUGUGUAUAUCAAAACAUGUCCUACUGAGACACAGCUCAGUCUAUAACUUUCUUAUCGACUUCCAAGCAAAAGGAAUUAGCAAAACAAUCAAUUGGUGUGUUAGGAUUUGACGCCUCGAGAUUCAGCCCACAUUGAGCCCACAGCGAGGCUCGCGGCGAAAAACAGAGUCUAACAAGACCAAGAUCACCUGAAACGGA